This 125-nucleotide microRNA precursor is filed under the name Podarcis lilfordi (Lilford's wall lizard). The record is from RNAcentral. Lineage: Eukaryota; Metazoa; Chordata; Lepidosauria; Squamata; Lacertidae.
GCGCCCCAUGCUUCGGGCUGCAGGCUGCUGCCCGCAAGCCUUGUGAGCCCGCGGGAACUCCCGCCGGGCUCGCAAGGCUUGCGGAUAGCUUCCUGAAGCCUGGAGAGCUAAAGGCAUCGGUGCGC